CAUCUGAUCGCAUAGGUGGCCUGCGGAGGUCAUUAAUGAGUUGUGAUGGGGUUUUGAUGCUGGUAUCCGAUUUUUUUUGGAUGCAUGUGCUCGCUCUACCAAUCAUCUUCCAAACACCCGUGCACAUUUUUGAGGGAUUUUCGAGUUGAUCGCCCCCCCCACUGUUUGGGUGAUUUUCUUGCAUUCCCCUUAAAAUCCAUUAUAUACGCCGUUAACAAUGCUGAACGUGCUUUGUGCCGCAAGGCCUUUAAUAUAAUACAACUUUUAACAACGGAUCUCUUGGCUCUCGCAUCGAUGAAGGACGCAGCGAAAUGCGAUAAGUAAUGUGAAUUGCAGAAUUCAGUGAAUCAUCGAAUCUUUGAACGCACCUUGCGCUCCCUGGUAUUCCGGGGAGCACGCCUGUUCGAGUGUCACGAAAUUUCUCAAGCUAGGAUGACAUUUUUCCUUUGUCUAUUCCUUAGCCUUGGUUGUUGGGCUUUGCCGUGUGUCCUUCAUUGGAACGGCUGGCCUUAAAAGCAUUAGCUGAUCCUCGUGGCAACUGGUUCUACUCAGCGUGAUAAUAGUCUGAUCGCUGAGGACAUCUUUUGGGAUGGCCAGUUCUCAUUUGGGUUGCUUCUAAACUUGGUUUGCAGAUUCUUCAAUCUGUGUUCCACUUUCAGCUUUGACCUCGAAUCAGGUGGGACUACCCGCUGAACUUAAGCAUAUCAAUAAGCGGGAGGAAU
RNAcentral lists this ribosomal RNA (722 nucleotides) under uncultured Clavulina. RNAcentral's name for it is "eukaryotic LSU rRNA". The stretch from base 260 to 413 matches the Rfam family "5.8S ribosomal RNA". Lineage: Eukaryota; Fungi; Basidiomycota; Agaricomycetes; Cantharellales; Hydnaceae. The record is from RNAcentral.